AACGCACAUUGCGCCCUUUGGUAUUCCGAAGGGCAUGCCUGUUCGAGCGUCAUUAUCACCCCUCGAGCCCCCGGGCUUGGUGUUGGACGGCCUGGUCGCGCCCCGCGCGUAACCCCUCCUAAAGACAAUGACGGCGGCCUCGUGGAGCCCCCGGUACACUGAGCUUCUUAACUGAGCACGUAUCGGAUCUAGGGCGCCCGGGUCCCGGUCCUCCUCCUCUCUCGUCCUCCCGGGCGGGAGACGAAACUUCUAAGGUUGACCUCGGAUCAGGUAGGGAUACCCGCUGAACUUAA
Molecule: unclassified non-coding RNA, 293 nt
Filed under: uncultured fungus
Lineage: Eukaryota; Fungi
Description: partial contains 5.8S ribosomal RNA, internal transcribed spacer 2, and large subunit ribosomal RNA
Rfam family: 5.8S ribosomal RNA (bases 1-52)
Source: RNAcentral